AUUGAACGCUGGCGGCAUGCCUUACACAUGCAAGUCGAACGGUAACAGGUCUUCGGAUGCUGACGAGUGGCGAACGGGUGAGUAAUACAUCGGAACGUGCCUAGUAGUGGGGGGAUAACUACUCGAAAGAGUGGCUAAUACCGCAUGAGAUCUACGGAUGAAAGCAGGGGAUCGCAAGACCUUGUGCUACUAGAGCGGCGGAUGGCAGAUUAGGUAGUUGGUGGGAUAAAAGCUUACCAAGCCGACGAUCUGUAGCUGGUCUGAGAGGACGAUCAGCCACACUGGGACUGAGACACGGCCCAGACUCCUACGGGAGGCAGCAGUGGGGAAUUUUGGACAAUGGGCGCAAGCCUGAUCCAGCAAUGCCGCGUGCAGGAUGAAGGCCUUCGGGUUGUAAACUGCUUUUGUACGGAACGAAAAGCCCCGGGUUAAUACCCUGGGGUCAUGACGGUACCGUAAGAAUAAGCACCGGCUAACUACGUGCCAGCCGCCGCCGUAA
Molecule: ribosomal RNA, 499 nt
Filed under: uncultured bacterium
Lineage: Bacteria
Description: partial 16S ribosomal RNA
Rfam family: Bacterial small subunit ribosomal RNA
Source: RNAcentral